This 87-nucleotide transfer RNA is filed under the name Nocardioides sp. OK12. Its description in RNAcentral is "tRNA-Thr". Lineage: Bacteria; Bacillati; Actinomycetota; Actinomycetes; Propionibacteriales; Nocardioidaceae. The record is from RNAcentral.
CGCAGCUUCUCGGCCAGGGUCUCGGUCUCGUUCUUGGUGCGGACGAAGACGAUCAUCCCCUCGAAGUUCUCGACCUCGAGGAUGCGG